ACGAACGCUGGCGGCAGGCUUAACACAUGCAAGUCGAGCGCCUCGCAAGAGGAGCGGCAGACGGGUGAGUAACGCGUGGGAAUCUACCCAACCCUACGGAACAACUCCGGGAAACUGGAGCUAAUACCGUAUACGCCCUUUGGGGGAAAGAUUUAUCGGGGAUGGAUGAGCCCGCGUUGGAUUAGCUAGUUGGUGGGGUAAAGGCCUACCAAGGCGACGAUCCAUAGCUG
This 230-nucleotide ribosomal RNA is filed under the name Rhizobium sp. ISO926_OTU34. RNAcentral describes it as "partial 16S ribosomal RNA". It matches the Rfam family "Bacterial small subunit ribosomal RNA", at positions 29 to 289 of the family's 1533-position model. Lineage: Bacteria; Pseudomonadati; Pseudomonadota; Alphaproteobacteria; Hyphomicrobiales; Rhizobiaceae. The record is from RNAcentral.